RNAcentral lists this ribosomal RNA (1971 nucleotides) under Cellvibrio mixtus. RNAcentral describes it as "bacterial LSU rRNA". It matches the Rfam family "Bacterial large subunit ribosomal RNA", at positions 979 to 2925 of the family's 2925-position model. The record is from RNAcentral. Lineage: Bacteria; Pseudomonadati; Pseudomonadota; Gammaproteobacteria; Cellvibrionales; Cellvibrionaceae.
GGCAGACAGACAGCGGGUGCUAACGUCCGUUGUCAAGAGGGCAACAACCCAGACCGCCAGCUAAGGUCCCCAAUGUUAGUUAAGUGGGAAACGAUGUGGGAAGGCUUAGACAGCUAGGAGGUUGGCUUAGAAGCAGCCACCCUUUAAAGAAAGCGUAAUAGCUCACUAGUCGAGUCGGCCUGCGCGGAAGAUGUAACGGGGCUAAAACUAGCAACCGAAGCUGCGGCUGCAUACUUUGUAUGUGGGGUAGGGGAGCGUUCUGUAAGCCGUCGAAGGUGUGUUGAGAAGCAUGCUGGAGGUAUCAGAAGUGCGAAUGCUGACAUGAGUAACGAUAAGGGGAGUGAAAAACUCCCCCGCCGGAAGAUCAAGGGUUCCUGUCCAACGCUAAUCGGGACAGGGUUAGUCGGCCCCUAAGGCGAGGCGGAAACGCGUAGUCGAUGGGAAACAGGUUAAUAUUCCUGUACCUCUUUUUACUGCGAUGGGGGGACGGAGAAGGCUAGAGCAGCACGGCGUUGGUUGUCCGUGUUUAAGGUCGUAGGCUGGUGUCUUAGGUAAAUCCGGGAUGCUAAGGCUGAGAACUGAUGACGAGUGUUCCUCGGAACAUGAAGUGCUUGAUGCCAUGCUUCCAAGAAAAGCCUCUAAGCUUCAGGUAAAAAGAGACCGUACUCCAAACCGACACAGGUGAUCAGGUAGAGAAUACCAAGGCGCUUGAGAGAACUCGGGUGAAGGAACUAGGCAAAAUGGCACCGUAACUUCGGGAGAAGGUGCACUGCUGAUGGUGAAGGGCUUGCCCCGUAAGCUAUUGGCAGUCGAAGAUACCAGGCCCCUGCAACUGUUUAUUAAAAACACAGCACUCUGCAAACACGUAAGUGGACGUAUAGGGUGUGACGCCUGCCCGGUGCCGGAAGGUUAAUUGAUGGGGUUAGCGCAAGCGAAGCUCUUGAUCGAAGCCCCGGUAAACGGCGGCCGUAACUAUAACGGUCCUAAGGUAGCGAAAUUCCUUGUCGGGUAAGUUCCGACCUGCACGAAUGGCGUAAUGAUGGGGGCGCUGUCUCCACCCGAGACUCAGUGAAAUUGAAAUCGCGGUUAAGAUGCCGUGUUCCCGCGGCUAGACGGAAAGACCCCGUGAACCUUUACUAUAGCUUUGCACUGAACUUUGAACCUAUCUGUGUAGGAUAGGUGGGAGGCUUUGAAGUCGAGACGCUAGUUUCGAUGGAGCCGUCCUUGAAAUACCACCCUGGUAUGUUUGAGGUUCUAACGUCGGCCCCUUAUCGGGGUUACGGACAGUGUAUGGUGGGUAGUUUGACUGGGGCGGUCUCCUCCCAAAGAGUAACGGAGGAGCACGAAGGUGUGCUAAUCAUGGUCGGAAAUCAUGAGGUUAGUGUAAAGGCAAAAGCACGCUUGACUGCGAGACAGACAUGUCGAGCAGGUACGAAAGUAGGUCUUAGUGAUCCGGUGGUUCUGUAUGGAAGGGCCAUCGCUCAACGGAUAAAAGGUACUCCGGGGAUAACAGGCUGAUACCGCCCAAGAGUUCACAUCGACGGCGGUGUUUGGCACCUCGAUGUCGGCUCAUCACAUCCUGGGGCUGAAGCCGGUCCCAAGGGUAUGGCUGUUCGCCAUUUAAAGUGGUACGCGAGCUGGGUUUAGAACGUCGUGAGACAGUUCGGUCCCUAUCUGCCGUGGGCGUUGGAGAUUUGAGAAGAGUUGUUCCUAGUACGAGAGGACCGGAAUGAACGAACCUCUGGUGUUCGGGUUGUCAUGCCAAUGGCACUGCCCGGUAGCUAUGUUCGGACGGGAUAACCGCUGAAAGCAUCUAAGCGGGAAGCCUCCUUCAAGACUAGAUCUCCCUGGGGCUUUAAGCCCCCUAAAGAGCCGUUGAAGACUACGACGUUGAUAGGUCAGGUGUGGAAGCGCUGCGAGGCGUUGAGCUAACUGAUACUAAUUGCUCGUGCGGCUUGACCAUAUAACAGA